RNAcentral lists this long non-coding RNA (938 nucleotides) under Homo sapiens (human). RNAcentral's name for it is "non-protein coding lnc-SEL1L-11:1". The record is from RNAcentral. Lineage: Eukaryota; Metazoa; Chordata; Mammalia; Primates; Hominidae.
AGGAAAACAACUCACGAGGCAAAAAAGUACAUCUCGUGGAUGGAGCAGGGCGAAGUGGUUACAAGUACAGACUCUGGAGCCAGACUGCCUGGGUUUGAAUUGUGCGGUUUCAGUCAGCCUCUUAAAGUGGUGGGAUUCCAGGCAUGAGCCACCAAGCUCAGUCUUCUCUACUAUUUUAAAUCCAAGUUUUACACUUGGUUGGAAAAUUCCUCUAAUCCAUUUUAUUUCACUUAGCAAAUAAUAAUAUUCUGAAUCUGUUUCUAAAAAACUCUCACUCUCAAAGCUAAAUAAGAACCCAGAGAUGUGGAGAAUCACAUUCUGAAGUCUUGUCACUCCAUUCUCUAAUUAUUAUGUCUGCUGUAUUUGCAUUUAUGGUUUAUAUGCUUUGAAUUUGUAGCUUUUCUGUUUUGCAAGAGUUACUGUCAGUGAGACAUCUACCAAAAGAAAUACUGCUAUUAGUGGUGUCAGGACCAAAUGUAUGUAACAGUGUGGUGUGUUUCUAAAUCCCUACUGUGGUUUUUGAGAAACUGUCUCUAAAUGGGAGAGGGUGAUGUGAAGACUGAAAGAAAAAAUCUUUAGAAACAACAAAGCAGAAACAUUAAUAGGAAAGAGCUUCCAGUGAUUAAAUUUUUCUUUUGGUCUUUCAGAUUGAGAAAGUAAGGAGAAUAGGCAUACAUGGUGGGAAAUUUCUAUCAACUUGGAAAAAACAAUAGAAUACAUAAUUCUUAGCCACUGAGAUGAGAGCCCAGGAAGUCACAAGGUCAAAGGAUCCUGUCCCAUUGUCUGUGGUGACAGCCUGUCCUCCCACUAUAAGGAAUGCCUUACCCUUAAACUCUGUUUAUAAUUGGGGAUCAUAAGAGAGUCUCCAAAGCACCUGACUUUGUUCCCAGAGCCCUUAGCCCCUUUCCACAUUCUGCCAUUUGAUGGACGACCAUGGG